AGAAUCCCAGCUGUCUGUGUAUGUGUUGUAUAUAUUUUGGAGUGCUGCCUGGACGGGAUGGGUGUUUACCUCCCACCCACCGCACACUUUUUUUUAUUUCUUUUUCUCUAGUUUUAUAAUUUGUACAACAAUCAGCGUAUUAAUUUAACCGUUUAGUCAUGUUGUUCUUCCUUUCUUUCACCCUUCCUUAAUUGUCGAUGUGAAUGUAAUCAAAGAGAGCUUCUGUCUCUCUGACACACGUUCACACACAUACGCAUACAUACAAACAUAUAUGCACCAAGCACACCGCUUACUGCACCGACACCCCUUCAAAUAUGCGGAUGUCGUUCCUGGGUACUUGCAUAUCAGUGUCUCUCUCUAUCCAGCCCCCACUAAAAACAAGAGGAAACCGUCAACAAACAUCACCGUAGCCACCGUCACUACUACUGCCAUUCACAACAACAGCAACCCGUGCCAUUUAUGCCUGACAAGCGAUGCUAAUAGUAAGUCUUGUAGAAUUUGGAGAGUGAAAUUAUUUCUAAUACCCAAAUGUUCUCACACACAUCUAUCAGAGGAUUAAUCUUCAAGUAUAUGCAACCACUAUCACCAUCGCUAACAGCAAGAACCAAGCUUUUUUCCUUAUGACGGAAAUUGAUUAAACAGAAAAUGAGUCGGUUUAUUGAAACUAAUUUAAAACGCUUCUUCCCUUCUAAUAACGAAACUUAGAAGCUUAACCUUACGAAGAGAGAAAGAAAGAAAGAAGAAAGAAUUACUAAAGUCUCUCGACAUACCGACUGACUGAGCUAUUUACUUACAUAUUUACCUCGUUACUACCUAACCUUGUAGUUUUGCUGUUUAACAGCGAAAUAUUUUAAAUAUUCAAGAUUUAAAGAGAAAGAAAAUAGGAUUGUUUCGCGUGAGCCGUUUUUCCAGUGGUGGUUGUUCAUGGAAUUGAAAUGGAUAUAUACUUGAAGGAGAAAACUAGUUGAUUCUGAUUGGAAUUUACCUGAAUGGAACGAUGAAGUGCUCGUUGCUUGAUGGCGCUGGCACACAGCUUGCUUCCUGCCACGCUUUAGGAUUAUUAUCUUUUGCAAAGAUUACGGCAAGGUGAAAAAGAAAAACCGAAAAAGAAAACAAAUAAAGGAAAGCUGCUGGGUAAGAAGACCCGGCUUGCUUCUUUUUGCUUCUAUCUUCUACUUCUUUAGAAGUAGAAGAAGCAGGAGCCGCAGAAAAGAUUCUGCCUCACACUUGCAAGAAGCAGUGCCGUAACAGGCGACAGAAUUUUAAGGAAUUCGGGAUUUUUUGUUGUUGUUAUUUUUAAGUUCUUUUGUAAAAGAAAAGUUAAUAGAAACCAAACCCCAUCAAAAUAAUUAAUAAUAGGGGUAUAAUUAAACAUGGCGUCGCCGCCCGAAGAAUGUUUCAUGCAAAGUCCUUUAGUUAUUUGGAUUGAUACUUUUCGGGAAGCAAAUUCUCCGGCGAUACAAUACAAAGAUAUUUACGGAGGUGUUUUCCUAACAACUGUAAUGAAUCAGAUUACACAAGGCUUUGAAAGAUUCAAUUCAGGAGACCCACAAACUGUUUACAGCAAAGUUAAUACUAACAUCAGUGAUGUUAAUGCUAGAAUUCAGAACUGGGAUAAUUUAGUAAAAAACAUAAAAGCAUAUUACUUGGAGGUCCUUCAACAAAUUUUAAUCAUGAGACUACCUAACAUUCAGUUAGUUUGUAGAGAACCUGAAAAGGAUGCUAGCUUUGAAGAGUUAAAGAAAGCUCUUUUACUUGUACUUGGUUGUGCUGUGCAGUGUGAGCGUAAAGAAUACUUCAUUGAGAAGAUUAAAACUUUAGAUAUUAAAGUACAGCAGGCAAUUGUUGAACUUAUAAAGGAGGUAACUGAUGACACUCAAACUGUACUUCCCACUGGCCCAUCUGAGCAACUGGAUGUCUAUUUGGAAAAAUCUCUUAAUCAUUUAAACAAACUCAUCAUUGAAAGAGAUGAACUUGCUGAAGCUGUUUCGGAACUUAAGCAAGAACAAGAAAUUUACCAAUCACAGAUUGAGGGAAAUACUACUUGGACAACUGGAAGUCCGGAGAAACAUCAUCUAGUUGUUGAAUUAGCGGAUUGUAAAGCCAAAGUGCGGAGACUUCGACAAGAAUUAGAAGAGAAGACCGAGCUUUUAUCUGAUGUCAUGGAUGAACUUGAUGAUAACAAGUCCCAGCUUCAAAAAACGAAGACUGAAUAUAAUGAAAUUUAUCAAGAAGCUAAAACAGCCAGAGCUUACAGAGAUGAGAUUGAUAUGCUCAGGGAAAAAGCUGUCAAGGUGGAAAGCUAUGAAAAUGAAAUCUUAAAAUACAAGGAAAAGCUCAACGAGUUGGAGUUCUGUAGAUCUAGAAUCGAUGAACUUAAGGAAGAUAACAGAAUUUUGGUGGAAACUCGUUCUAUGCUUGAGGAACAAAUAAGCAACACAUACAAACGUAUGGAUGCUGUGAAGGAAUUAGAAAGGGACUUGAUGAAGUGUAAAAAUCAAAUGCAAGAGCUGACUCUGGAACUUGAUACUGAAAAAGAGAAGGUACGGGUAUUAACGGAAGAAAAUGCCUUGUUAGAAUUUGAGAAAAAAAAUCGACUCCAACAAAACACUACUCUUGAGAAGGAACUUGAAGAAGCACACACGAGGACUUCUGGCAUCAGUCUGUCUGACCAGCUGAAUGAAACUUCGAAUGCCAAAGUUCUUCGACUAGAAUUAGAAAAUCAGUUACUUCAGCAAAAGAUCGAAGAACUGAGAGAAAAUUCUUUAUUAGAAAGUAGUGCUCUAAAUUUGGAACAAGAGAAAGAGAAUAAGCGACUUUCUAAAAAAGUUGAAUCUUUGCAGGGAGAGAUGAAGUCACAAUCAGAGAGGUGUAUAGAGUUAGAACAGAAAACAAAAGAAUUUGCUGAUGAGAAGGAGAAACUUUUGCUUAUGAUUGAAACUGUCAAAGAAAAUACUGAAAGACAGCUGAAUGAGGUUAAAAGAGAAAAAGAACAUUUAGCUGAAACAAUAUCUUCACUGCGUGAGAGAAAUGAAAAAUCAAAUGAUAGCAGAGUGAAGGAACUUGAAAAAGAAAAUAAAAAUCUCCAUGACAAAGUUUCAGAAACUGCUGCCAGAAUUUCAAAAUUAGACUUUGAAUAUCAACAGCUUCAAAGGGCUAAUGACAAAAUGAAAGCUAACUGUGAAAGACUGAAUGAGCUCGAACAUUCCAACACUAGUUUAGAGCGUAUAAAUUCUGACUUGAAGAAUGCAGUCAGCACUCUAAAGCUUGCCUGUGAUAAAUAUGAAACUACAGAAGAGGAUAACUCUCGCUUAGAAAUAGAAAACAAAAAACUAAACAAAACCAUUGAAAGUCUUCAGUUAUCUUUAUCUAAGCAAGAAAUGCUUAUUGAAGAACACAUUUCGUUAACUUUAGAAAACCAGAAACUACAAAAGACUCUAGAGUCAUUAAAAGGUGCAACAGACAAAGUUCUAGAAUUGGAUAAUGAGAAAGAUGAACUAAAUCGGGAAAUUCAGCAAUUAAAGAAAACCAUUGAGUCUCAGCGAAUUGAACGGGUCAAAUAUGAACAGAUGGAAAUGGAUGUAUUAGAUAUGGACAAUGAGAACCAGAAGCUUCAGAAAACGUUAGAGAUGACCACCCGGCGUUUGCAACAGUUGGAGAAGGACAACAAUGACUUGGAAGUUGAAAAUGAAAAGCUACAAAUUUCCAUCGAGAGUUUGAAACUUUCCUGUAAGAAACUGGAAAACAAAGAAGAAGAAAAUAAAGAGUUGGAUAAUGAGAUAAUUAAAUUAAACAAGGACAAAUCAGCCCUUGAGAAAGAAAAUAAAAAGCUCAAACAUGUUCUAGAAGCUACUGGAGCUCACUUAGAUGAAAUCACCUCAAAGCAUAAUAUUCUUGAGAAAGACUAUAAAGCUUUAAAAAAGACCCUUGAUAAAAACAAAGAUGCUAAUGAGCGGAUACGGGAGUUUGAAAAAGAAAACAAAGAUUUGCAGCAGCAACUUCUUGUAAACAAGAAGACCCUUGCUACUUUGAGAGAGGAUUUGGUAAAUGAGAAGAUUCAGAUGCAACAGCUUCUGAAUGAACGAGAGAAACUUGGUCAAGAACUGGAACAGAUCGGUCUCAAGAGAGAAGAGCUAAUGAAGAAUCAUGAAUCAGAUGAAAGUCGGUUCCAGAUCUUUGAAAAUAUGAUGCAAGAUGCUAUAAAGAAAAAUACAGAAAUAAAAGAGGACAAGAUUCUUUCAUUGGAGAGUAGACUAGAGGAGUCCAAGAACAGAAACAUGAAAUUACAAGAAGAACUUCGCUCAGUUAAGAGGGAUUGUGAAUCACUCAAACAACGACUUGAAGAAGAGUUCCAAGAUGGGAACACAUCAUCUGUUGUAAAUAUCAGUAAUCCUACAAGACAGAUUUUGGAAAUAAAAGACAGAGUGGUUGAGGUUGAAAGAGAUAAUGCUACAUUGCUGGCUGAAAAUAAAAACCUUAAGCGCCAACUAGAAAUAAUAGAUCAACAAAUAGCUAAAAAGGAUAAUGAUUACCACAAGCUUCAAUAUCAGUUAAGUACACUUCAUGAACAAAAUAACACCAGCCAUUCACAGCAUGCAAAGAUUGAAGUAGAGAACAAAACCUUACAGACGCAAUGCACAUCACUGCAAGCACAGAACUCCACAUUGCAAUCUCAGUUGAACAAUGCAGAUCUAGAGAAUGAGAGAAAUUUGCAGCGUAUUGAAGAACUACAAAACAAAUAUGACUCUUUAGUUUCUGCACAUGAAACUUUGCAAAAGCUCCAUGAUGAUCUUACCACUGAAUAUGAGUCCCUUAUUUCUGAGCAUGGGUCUCUGAAAACCACACAUAAGUCAAGUUGUGGUGAAAUGAAAGACCUACAAGAUCAACUAUCUAUUUUACUUCGAGGCAAGAAUGAUAUCACUAAGCUGCGAGAAAUGCUUGAGAAAGAGAGGGAACAGUUGAAAGUAGAGUCCAAGUCACUGAGUAACCUGCAAAUGGAUUAUAAUCAUAUGAGGAACAAAUAUGAUAAUUUGCACACAGCAUAUGAGCGUUUGGAAAAGGAGCAUCAAGAUCUUGGAGUGGAGUACAAGAGAAUAAAAACUGAAUAUAAUGAUUUGCAACUCCGUUACACUGAACUUCAAGGAGAUGCUGCAGAAAGCAGGGAGCAGCUCAGCAAUACCGAUCUUGAGAUGACAAAACUAGCCACUCGUUGUGAAGCAAUUGAUCAAAUGAAUCAAAAGAUGGAAGAAGAAAAUAACCAAUUGCUGUAUCAGAUGAAGACUUUGAUAAACCAAAAUCAAGAGCUUCUCAGUGAAGCUCUCAACAGUAAAGACCAGCAUGCAGAGACUGCAAAAGCUUAUCAAGAGAAAUUUGCUGAAUUGCGCCGGCAGAAAGAGAGACUAGAAGAGAAAAUAAUGGAACAUUAUAAGAUGCGCCUAGAAUCUCCCAAAAAACGCAGCCUUGGAGCCACUCUAGUACGGAAAGCAAGAGGUAUUAUAACACGGGUCCAUCGAACAAAAAGCAAGACAAAUUUAACCAAUUCUGAAAGUCCUGAUAACUCAUCUGUUGGUUCAGGAUCCUGUGGAGAAGCAGCUGAUGCUGAUAGUAAUAGUGGGCGAAGAAUUACCAAAGUACAGAAAACAAAUGAAAAAGCUCAUGAGGUUUCAUUUGUCAAGCAAAACAAAAGCUUUAUGAUGUCAACAACUCUGUUGUUUUACAAACUGGACUCCAACAAUGUUAGAGGUUCCAGAUCUAGUGAAGACCUUGUGAACUUUGAUUCUGCUAGUAGAGAUGGCACAUACUCUCUAGGAGGCAAAAUGGCUGAUGUAGAUGAUGACUAUCAUCGAUCCCCUUCAACAAUUCAUGGUAGACAAUCUCCAGGCAGCGAACUUCUCACACUAGAACAAUUUCUUAAAGAAUCAAAUCCUGAUUCUCCUACAUUGAGAACCAAAGGUCAAGAAAGGAAACUGAACGAAGGUGUCAGUUUUUCCCAAAGUGAACAGCUGAAGAGAAAUAAAAUAUCUGAAGGUUCUUCUAAUUUGAAUCCUGGUGGAAAAUAUCCAGUGAGAACUGAGCAAGACCAUUAUCAACGGCACGUUUAUGAGCAGUCUAACCAAAACUCUACCUUUAACCAUUCCAACUCUUCCAGACACUUAUCAGAACCAUAUUCAAAUAACCUAGAUCCAUCAUCAAAAGUCAUAAAUAAUUCUCACCAAGAACUGUCCAAAGUGUCUCGUAGUUCUUCUAACAAUGGUGAGAGUACAGGAGAUAGUAAAACAGAUCUGCACUCCACCUAUGUCCAGCCAGUAACUAAUAAAGAUGGUGUAAAAACUCCUACUCCUAAAGUUAGACGACGCUAUCCAGAGAGUAAUUAUUUCCAGAAUCACCGCUAUCAGACAGACAGUCAACAAGCUGAUCACUUACAGUCUCAGAAUUCUGUCUCACAAGAGCCAUACAUUGUAUUGAGGUCUGCAAAAUCUUACAAUCACAUUGCUACUCAACAAGCACCACAAUCUCAUGAUUUAUCGAAUCGGUCAGUCACUCCUGGUACUGUUGACCAGAUGUAUGCCCCUGCACAUGUCAGUCAGUCAAUGCCAUACCCAGAGCCACAUUACUUAUCUCGUGAACAGUCUCCCAUGAGUGAUAACCGACAGAGUAACUUUAUGAAGCCAGCUGAAAGGCCUACUUCUAUGCACUUCAACAAUCAACCAAAUCAAGGGCCAUCUUCACGCCCUACAGGAUCUGCUUCCCCUUUCCCCAAAAGACCAAGAGACUCUCCUAACCUCUACAAAACGGAUCCCACUCUUUCCAAAAGUGAACUGUCUUUAAAUAAAAGAACAUCACGAUCUCCUGAGUAUGCUUACGACAAUGCAGCAUCUAACAGCCAAACAUUUAAUGACUAUCACUCAUUAGGCAUGUCUGUUGACAAACCUACAUCUUCAAAUAACAUUUUGGAGAUCUGCGAAGCAGAUGAGUCUUAUCCAUAUCGGUCUCGCUCGCGGGGUACCCCUCCAAAACCAAUAAACAGAGACCCCAAUAAUUACACACACACUGUUACUAACAAUUCUAAUCACCAAGACACACACCAGAUGCUGCCUACAUCAUCAUCUUCAUCUUCAUUGUUACAAUCACAGGCUGGAUAUUCUCGAAAUUCCAGUGCACAACCAAGUUAUACAGGAGGCAAUGUGAAAAAUGCUCCAAUGGCAAGAAUCUCCCCACAAACAAAACAACUAAAUACCCAGCAGCACCUCAGUCUAAGCAAUGCCACUACCACUACCCCCACCACUACAACUACAACCACUAACAGCAACAGCAAGUCAUCUGACGAAUCAAAGGACCCCAAAACCAAUUCUGUGUGGUAUGAAUAUGGUUGUGUAUAAAAACAUAGUCUUCCCCCACUUUCAUUGCUGCUCUUUAUAAUCUGUUAACAUGUGGUUGUUUUUGCUGACCACUUUCUGCCAUCUGCUUCCAUUUCUACAUUCCAAACCAUAAUUUAAUCUGCAGAUUAAAUAACCUCACCUUUGUAGAUUCAAAAUUGUUGUUUUCAAGUGUUGGUUUUUUCAGCUUUGUUUGCAUUUUAAAAAUAAUUUAAAAUCACUAACACUUUUUUCUAUCCUUAAAUCAAUAUUUACAAUUUUCGUUCCAUUUCUUGAAGGGUAAUCAUUAGAGCACCAUCACUCCCAUCCAUUUAUGCUCACAAUUCUAAUGGUCUCUUGAAAAUCUUCUAAGGGCUUCAUUAAAAACCUAUCUUAGGUGUUUGCUAUGCAAGAUGGGAUAGAGCAUUCAUACAUUCAUUUUGAAGUUGGGAUACACAGCAGAAUUUUUUUUUUUUAACUAAUCCGUAAAUUAACUUUCAUAAUAUUUAUUUAAAUAAAGGUGGCAAGCUGGCAGAAAUAUUAGCACACUAGGUGAAAUGCUUAGUGGUAUUUCGUCUGUCUUUACAUUCUGAGUUCAAAUUCUGCCGAAGUCAACUUUGCCUUUCAUCCUUUCAGGGUCGAUAAAUUAGGCAGUCAAUCAGAUUGAUCCCAGUUGCAUACUGAGAUCAAUCUGAUUGAUUGCCUCCUACCCCCAAAAUUUCGAGCCUUGUGUCUAGAGUAGAAAAGAAUACAUUUAAUUUUCGUUAGAAAUGUAUACAAUUUCACCCCUGCUUCAGAUUUCUUUAUUUCUGACAAGUUUUAAAUUUCUUAACAAAGAGUAUGUAAAGUUAAUACCAUUGAUGAAACAUUCCGGUUUUUUUUUCCAUCUAAAUUGUUCAGUUUCAUAAUAACUGUAACAGCAACUAUAUUUCAUUUUGUCAAUGUUCUGCUCUGGAAAGAUUUAAUUCUCCAACAUAUUUAAAUUAGGAUCUGUUCCAUUUUGAUUUGAGAACAUUAGAAGUUCAUUCGAAAGGAAAACGGUAUGUGAAAUCAAGGGAAGUGGGACAGAGACUAAAACUGAUUCUGUAUUUAUUGGUUGUUUCAAAAUUGUUUUUUUAUUUUCUGAGAAUUUUGAUUAAUGAGGUGCUCUGCAUUUUUGUUAUCAGUGUUGCUUGUUCUAUUUAUUUUGUUCAAAAAAAUGCAACCAUCUUAGCACCAAACAAAAAUGUUAUGUUUCGUAACUUUGCUUAUUAUCAUUGGCCUUGAGUACCAGUCAUGCACUGGGGUGGUUUCAACUGAUGACACCUAAAUUGUGGCUUUUGUGUCCUGUUAAAAACCGUUUUAAAUCUUGUCUGUCAUUGCCAACUUUGCCUUUUGUCCCUACAUGAUCAGUCAUUAAAACCAGUACCAAUGAGUCGAUUCCACUGACUUUUCUUUUUGUCCCGACAAAGCUUGCUCCACCCCAUACUUAGAGAAAAUAAUUCUAUUAGGAAUGUCUGUGUAGAAGCAGAAAUGAUCAGUCUUGUGGUAUAUAUUUACAUCACUACAUUGUGAGUUCAAAUCCCAUUAGGAUUGACUGUCUUUCCUUCACACUGAGUCUUAAAUCCAUUCACAUUUUCCAAUAAAAUAGUGGGGAUGUCAACAACAUAUACCUGUUUGUUUUUCUAAUGUAAGAAUUAUUCAUUCAUAAUAAUGCUGCAGAAAUGAUAGCAUUAGACUAAAUGCAAGCUACUGCACAUUCAAUGUAUCCUUGUUUCAGUUUAAAUGACUACACUCUUUCCCUCAAGUUUGUGGCCUUAUGCCAAAAUGAAAAUCCAAUAUUGCUUCUUCAGUAUCAAGCAUUUCUGGAGUUCAAAAAUUUUUCUAUGUAAAAAUAGGCUUGGUGUCCAUGAGUUUUCCCAAGAAUUUUUAAUUUUAUCCCCCUCCCAAGGCAGGUAACACUUCAUCUCAAGGCUAAACUAAAUUUUGUAAACUAGACCUUCACUUCUAUAUUUUAAUGUUUUCCCCUCAAACAUGUCAUAUUUGGAAGUUGUUUCUGUAAAAGAAAAAGAAAAUCUGAGGUGAAAAUGGUUAAGGCAAUGGACUAAAUGAAUCACAUUGUUUUGAUUUUCUCAGUUGAAAUCCUGCCAGAGAUGGAAUCAUUUGUCAUCUCAAGGUUAAUUAAUAGUAAAAUAAAUUACAAGUUGGUUUUAUCAACUGUUACUUGAUCCUCAAGUGUGCAUCCAUUGUUACCAUUCAUGAAACAUCACACAUUUGCUCUUUCUUGCUAUUCUAUAUAAGUAUCAAAGCUCAUCCUCAGUGCUAUUUAUCUCAUUGGUGCAAUAUUUAAUAGUUAUUCAAAAUUGUCUGUGAUUUCACCACACCUUUCUUUAUUUCAAUUCUUUGAGGAAAGUGAGUUUAAACUAUUUUAACAAAUAACACCCAAUUUUGUUAGUUUUUAUUGUUUUCUGUUGCUCCAUACUAAAGCUUGCUUUGUGAUAUUCCCAAUUCCAUUAAUUGCCCUCUUUGUUUAUAAUCUUUCCAUGUGAGAAUCAAUGGAAGUGCUAUCAUCCAAUACCAUACAAAAAAAAAAAACACAAAAAGUAUUUUACAUUUGUGAAAAAAAAAAAUCAUUUACAAAUAAAAACAUUUUAAAUACCAUUUACAAAUAAAAACAUUAAAAAAAUUUUAAUUGUUUACUUGAUAGGUUUUUAAAUUUUAACAGUAUUAAAAAGUAGAUUGGUGGCAAUUUUCUAAUUGCUUAACUAGAAAACUUUGCUCCUGCCUUUUGUGGACAAACCAUUUCAUUUCUCUUUGCAAAUUUUUUCAAAAUGUGGAAUAAUCUUGACAAGACAUAAUUGUACACAUCUGAUAAUUUGUACAAAAAAUGUCACAUUACCAUGAAAUAAAUACUAUUCAGUAUCACAUUAACAUUGGUACUGAAGUGGCUAAAGUUGCUUUCUCAUUGACUUUUUAUUAUACUAUUCAACUUCAAGCCUAAUGAAGACCUGUCAUUUGAUACCUAAAAUCUGAUCAGACAUUUUGUUUACUUCCAGCUUCAGUCAGUCAUCGUGUUUUCCAAUAGCAUUAGCAACCUUAUAAUGUAAAAACCAAUGAAAUCUUGAAGUGCAACUCGGUUGUCGCGCUUCCAAAUCUAAACCUGGUAACUUUAGUGGCAGUAUUUAAGCAUAUUCUUUAGAAGCUACCUUGUAAACUCAGCAUUUACAUCAGAGCUAGGCUGCAUAAAUGUUACUAUAGUGCAGAAAAUAUUGCUAUUAUCCUGUAUCAUUCAUUAAGUUGCUGUUAUUUUGAAGAGAAAAUUAAGGUGAAAAUAGAAAAGCUUGCUUUUCAAGUCAACCCAUACUUGUUAAAGAUGGGCACAGAAACAGUCUAGAAGCCAGCCACACUAAUUCUACUUAGGAAUUAGAAGUACACAUAUGCAGAACACUCAACCACUUACAUGCUAAUGAGCAAGUAAUUUGGUUCCUAAAAAGCCUCUUUGUCUGUCAGAGAUCCACAUCUGCACCAUUCAACUACAUUUUCCUUAAAAGCUGAGUCUAAACACAAAAAAUAUACGAGGAAAUAAUACCAGCUCCAACAAGUUCAGUAAAAUAAGUUAAAUUUCAAAAUCAACUUUUCUAGGCUGAGCUUCUUAAAUUUCCCACUAAAAUUUUUUUAUACAUUUAUUAAGUACAUGAGUAAAUAUGCUGGGAAAAUGUGUCAUAACUAGAUAUAUUAAAUGGCUGAUAAAAAAAAAAAAACUCAGGAUAAAACAUUUUACCAAAUAGCAGGAAAUUCCAAUAAUCUGUAUGAAUGCAACUGAUACAAGACCUCAGUUCUUAAUAAGCAAGUCACCACACCAGACCAGACCGCAACAUUGGACUGGUGUUUUAUUCCUCAAUUCAAUUUGGCCAAGUUGGAAUGGAAAGCAUUUUUCUCAAGUCAUUCAUUCAAACUAAGCUAUUAGAAGCAGUUGCUUUCAUGGACCCUGUUCACUGUCAAACACUUUAGGCUAAAAUAAAGUAUGGAAUUGAAAAAUGAUUCAAAAUAGUUUAUUUAUUUCAAUGAUUUGGAUGAAUUAAAAAUUAAAUGCAUGAGAAGCUGUAUAACUUCAAAAAUAUUUUAAUCAGUUUCAGUUUAGUUUUUGCAAAAGAAAUAGCAAUAUACGUGAGCACCAAAUAAAGUACCAGUCAAGUACUGGGGGUCAAUUUAAAUUCCUCCCACCUAGGUAGAAAAUACUGUCCUUACAUGCUUGAUAAGAGCAUAUUCUAUCAGGCUGACCCUUCAACAGACCCUAUCAAGAGGUGGUGGUCUGGUGACCCAAAAAUAUAUAGCUAUAAAGGCUAAAUGUUUGAAGAAUUCUGGUAAAGAACUGCCUUAUUUAAAAGGGCAAGAUUAAUGUGUGGAGGGGGGAAAAAGUAGCUACUUUUAGUCCCCCCCCCACAAUAAAAAGCAA
Octopus bimaculoides (California two-spot octopus) is the source of this 11790-nucleotide unclassified non-coding RNA. NCBI's taxonomy places the organism in Eukaryota, Metazoa, Mollusca, Cephalopoda, Octopoda, Octopodidae. The record is from RefSeq and is a predicted model, not a curated record.